Molecule: ribosomal RNA, 253 nt
Filed under: uncultured bacterium
Lineage: Bacteria
Description: partial 16S ribosomal RNA
Rfam family: Bacterial small subunit ribosomal RNA
Source: RNAcentral
UACGUAGGGUGCGAGCGUUGUCCGGAAUUAUUGGGCGUAAAGGGCUCGUAGGCGGUUUGUCGCGUCGGGAGUGAAAGCCCAGGGCUUAACCCUGGGUCUGCUUCUGAUACGGGCAGACUAGAGGUAUGUAGGGGAGAACGGAAUUCCUGGUGUAGCGGUGAAAUGCGCAGAUAUCAGGAGGAACACCGGUGGCGAAGGCGGUUCUCUGGGCAUUACCUGACGCUGAGGAGCGAAAGUGUGGGGGGCGAACAGG